UUCCCGAGGCGUUUCGCGCUCAUCUGCGGCUUCGCGAUCGCGAAUUCCGUUAGCGCUAAAUCGGGGAGAAAAAUGUCGAUGACUCGGGAAAUCUGAUCCUGAUUUCUUGCCGGUCUGGAACGAAGAGGCAACGGCAGCAUCCGAUGUUCCCGUUGAAUUAGCAACGCGCGCGCGAGAAAAUUGCACGCCUCUUACACGUCGGCGGAAGGUCAUCACUGGGACGUACCCGUUCGCGAAAAGAGAAAAGCGAAAGAAGCUUGAAUGAAGAAAGUCAUCGCACCGUUUCGAGAAUUCACCUCUCUCGAUUAGCCCGCGGCGUUCUUUGAAUUUCCUGGAAGCAAGUACUCAUCUCGACCGGUGUACGGGUGUCAGGCACGAAGGAGAUACUUUCGCGAUAUUCUGCGUGAAAAUCGCGAACGCAAUCCAUCCAGAGCGCCGUCCAGAGAUGCCUAGGACAUCUUUAUGCAUCACGUGACAUCUGCAGGAGCGGAAGCUGUAAACGAAACGCGGAACACAAGACGAAGGAAGAAAGCGAGCUGAAAAAUGUGCAUCCCCACGCGACUCUCCACAAGUAAUGCACACAAUAAUCGCGCCAGUGAAGUCUCUAAAGCCGACAUUGUGAGAGGCCCGGAUAGAACGACGCCAUUUUUCAUAUCGCGCCCGCGGGCGACGCGCUCGCAUAAAGGAAGAAAGAAACAAAAAAGGAGAAUCGCGCCGAUGCGAUAAUAAUUGCCGAUUUUAUGCAGCUAAUGAAAGACGCCCACCUAGACAGAUCUCAGUGGAGUCUCGGUGACAGCGAGAAGAAAUAAUUCUCCGAACUGUCACCAUUGUCAUCGAGAUACGUAUGGACGUUUGACACAGAAAUCCUAGCGAGGAAUGUCAACCUUCCACUCUUUACCGCGGAUCUCUUCUCGUCUAAUCUUCGCAUUGUGUUUGCGAGAGAA
This 944-nucleotide long non-coding RNA is filed under the name Camponotus floridanus (Florida carpenter ant). Its description in RNAcentral is "uncharacterized LOC105252003, transcript variant X2". Lineage: Eukaryota; Metazoa; Arthropoda; Insecta; Hymenoptera; Formicidae. The record is from RNAcentral.